This 440-nucleotide ribosomal RNA is filed under the name uncultured bacterium. RNAcentral describes it as "partial 16S ribosomal RNA". It matches the Rfam family "Bacterial small subunit ribosomal RNA", at positions 338 to 795 of the family's 1533-position model. The record is from RNAcentral.
CCUACGGGGGGCUGCAGUGGGGAAUAUUGCACAAUGGGGGAAACCCUGAUGCAGCGACGCCGCGUGAGUGAAGAAGUAUCUCGGUACGUAAAGCUCUAUCAGCAGGGAAGAAAAUGACGGUACCUGACUAAGAAGCCCCGGCUAACUACGUGCCAGCAGCCGCGGUAAUACGUAGGGGGCAAGCGUUAUCCGGAUUUACUGGGUGUAAAGGGAGCGUAGACGGCAGCACAAGUCUGGAGUGAAAUCCCGGGGCCUAACCCCGGAACUGCUUUGGAAACUGUGCGGCUGGAGUGCAGGAGGGGUAAGCGGAAUUCCUAGUGUAGCGGUGAAAUGCGUAGAUAUUAGGAGGAACACCGGUGGCGAAGGCGGCUUACUGGACUGUAACUGACGUUGAGGCUCGAAAGCGUGGGGAGCAAACAGGAUUAGAUACCCCAGUAGUC